UUCUCCCGCCCCAAAUACAAACAGAGGUGAGGGACGAUAAGCCAGUUUUUGAGAAGAGGCAUCUGGUGGAGGAGGAGGACAUGUAGAUGCACUCCAAGUUCCUGGACAGAAAGAGCAUGCCUCAUACCUGCGGCUGGCAGCUCCGCGCCAUGAUCCCUGACUUUUGGCAGUUCCUGUUACUACAUAAACCAAGCAAUGUCUUCAUGGUCGCCCGUGAGGACUUCUCUCCCUUCCGCCCCCGCCAAACACCUUCAACACCUCCUCAGCGUGAGGACACACACCUUCAACACCUCCUCACCGUGAGGACACACACCUUCAACACCUCACCUAACAGGUACUGCAAGAAGUCGGCCAUCAUGGCGAGGAGGUCCGGGUUCUACUGCAGGAACUUGGAGUGCAUCUACAUGUCCUCCUCCCUCACCAGAUGCCUCUUCUCAAAAACUGGCCUAUCGUCCCUCACCUCUGACACACAACAAACAUACACACGGACAUGUAAAUAGGGGACCAUUCCUAAUAGUGUGUGUGUUUGUGUGUGUAUCUGUGUAUGUGUGUACCUGUUUGUAUUUGGGGCGGGAGAAGCAGGAGCCUCAUGUUGACGGAAGAGCACACCUGCAUUUGGCUGGCCCUAAACAGGAACAGGAUAUGACAUCACACAGGGAGAAAGAGAUGGCAGGAGCAGUGGUGCCCUAUAUGUCCUGGGUGUCUCUGGUGUAGGCCAGGUUACUGUAAAAGCACUAUUUAACAAGGCAAGUCAGUUAAGAACAAAUUCUUAUUUACAAUGACAACCUACACUGGCCAAACCUGGACGACGCUGGGACAAUUGUGUGCCGCCCUAUGGGACUCCCAAUCACGGCCGGUUGUGAUACAAACUGGAUGUAACUGCUGAUGUAAAAU
This is a long non-coding RNA of Oncorhynchus tshawytscha (Chinook salmon), 894 nucleotides long. The record is from Ensembl. NCBI's taxonomy places the organism in Eukaryota, Metazoa, Chordata, Actinopteri, Salmoniformes, Salmonidae.